CCCUCACUCCCUGCUGACUUGGGUGGCUGGAUAAAUGCCCUACAUCGGUUCACUUGAUCCCCUAAGAACGUCCGUCCAGAGUGAUGGGUGUGACAAAGUGGGACUGUUCUUAAUGUUUCCUCUGAAUAGUGUGGGGGUGCCUCAGUUUCCCCUAGGCAGUUCUUAAGUCUCUAGGGGGUGGGGUAAGGGUGUAUGAUCAUUGCAGAGCCCUAGAGGGCAGGUGUGUGCAGGGGUCUGGACACAGAGAAUGGCCGACACCCUGUUUCCUGGCAACUGAUGGCCUGGGCCCUUCCCCCCUGCAAGGUGAGAGCUAAAGGGUUGGAGAACAAAGGAAUCAGGUGACCACCUGGCCCGGGAAAGGGACAAAGCCCAGAGGAGGAGGGGCUGGAGGGAGUUUUCAGUUUGGGGCUGGCUGGGACAUGGAGUGAAGUGCAGACGUGGUUGUCUGGCUCACUGCCCCCAAAAUGGACCCAGCUGAGGGGUCCCGUUCUCUGCACCUGCAAGCUCUGUGUUAGACCACGUUCCUGUCGUCUAAUAAACCUUCUGUUUUACUGGCUGGCUGAGAGUCACGUCUGACUGCGAAGUUGGGGGGCAGGACCCUCUGGCUUCCCCAGGAGC
Molecule: non-coding RNA, 618 nt
Organism: Caretta caretta (loggerhead turtle)
Lineage: Eukaryota; Metazoa; Chordata; Testudines; Cheloniidae
Source: RefSeq, a predicted model, not a curated record